Molecule: long non-coding RNA, 324 nt
Filed under: Vigna radiata
Lineage: Eukaryota; Viridiplantae; Streptophyta; Magnoliopsida; Fabales; Fabaceae
Description: long non-coding RNA (VRAD_LNC001625)
Source: RNAcentral
AAAAAAAUUCUAGACAUUUUUUCUUUAUCUUAUAUUUUAUAUUUUUCACUCUAUCCUUAUCUAUUUGAAGAAUGAAGUACGUCAUAGGACUCUUGAUGAUAAAGUCUAUCUUUUUGUCCGAUUAGUUUGUCUAAUAGAGUAGUUCAUUUUUUGUUCUUUUUAAAGUUCUUUAUUUUUUUUUGUAAUGCAUGUUUGAGGUUGGGGGUUGCAUGUGUCAUCUUAAAGCUCUAGAUAAAUCUUUAUUUAAUUAUGAUUGUCAUGAUAUAAUCAUAUCAUAUAAAUUUUUUGUGUGCAAAUAUUGUCUUCUUUGGUUAGGAGUGCUUA